UGGAGAGUUUGAUCCUGGCUCAGAUUGAACGCUGGCGGCAGGCCUAACACAUGCAAGUCGAGCGGUAGAGAGGUGCUUGCACCUCUUGAGAGCGGCGGACGGGUGAGUAAAGCCUAGGAAUCUGCCUGGUAGUGGGGGAUAACGCUCGGAAACGGACGCUAAUACCGCAUACGUCCUACGGGAGAAAGCAGGGGACCUUCGGGCCUUGCGCUAUCAGAUGAGCCUAGGUCGGAUUAGCUAGUUGGUGAGGUAAUGGCUCACCAAGGCGACGAUCCGUAACUGGUCUGAGAGGAUGAUCAGUCACACUGGAACUGAGACACGGUCCAGACUCCUACGGGAGGCAGCAGUGGGGAAUAUUGGACAAUGGGCGAAAGCCUGAUCCAGCCAUGCCGCGUGUGUGAAGAAGGUCUUCGGAUUGUAAAGCACUUUAAGUUGGGAGGAAGGGCAUUAACCUAAUACGUUAGUGUUUUGACGUUACCGACAGAAUAAGCACCGGCUAACUCUGUGCCAGCAGCCGCGGUA
This 522-nucleotide ribosomal RNA is filed under the name Pseudomonas sp. CMH3. RNAcentral's name for it is "bacterial SSU rRNA". It matches the Rfam family "Bacterial small subunit ribosomal RNA", at positions 1 to 522 of the family's 1533-position model. Lineage: Bacteria; Pseudomonadati; Pseudomonadota; Gammaproteobacteria; Pseudomonadales; Pseudomonadaceae. The record is from RNAcentral.